Non-coding RNA from Plectropomus leopardus (leopard coralgrouper), 120 nucleotides. Lineage: Eukaryota; Metazoa; Chordata; Actinopteri; Perciformes; Serranidae. The record is from RefSeq and is a predicted model, not a curated record.
AGAGAGAGGAAUAACCAUGCGGCUGGCAGACCUCAUCAAGCGGUCUAAAGCGCAGCAGUUCCACGGCCUGAUGGGAAGGAGCUCGGGUGCAUCUCAGCCUGUGAGACUGGGCAAGAAAAG